CCCUCAGAAUGGUUGGAAAUCAUUCAUAGAGUGUAAAGGCAUAAGGGAGCUUGACUGCGAGACCUACAAGUCGAGCAGGGUCGAAAGACGGACUUAGUGAUCCGGUGGUUCCGCAUGGAAGGGCCAUCGCUCAACGGAUAAAAGCUACCCCGGGGAUAACAGGCUUAUCUCCCCCAAGAGUUCACAUCGACGGGGAGGUUUGGCACCUCGAUGUCGGCUCAUCGCAUCCUGGGGCUGUAGUCGGUCCCAAGGGUUGGGCUGUUCGCCCAUUAAAGCGGUACGCGAGCUGGGUUCAGAACGUCGUGAGACAGUUCGGUCCCUAUCCGUCGUGGGCGUAGGAAAUUUGAGAGGAGCUGUCCUUAGUACGAGAGGACCGGGAUGGACAUACCUCUGGUGUACCAGUUGUCGUGCCAACGGCAUAGCUGGGUAGCUAUGUGUGGACGGGAUAAGUGCUGAAAGCAUCUAAGCAUGAAGCCCCCCUCAAGAUGAGAUUUCCCAACUUCGGUUAUAAGAUCCCUCAAAGAUGAUGAGGUUAAUAGGUUCGAGGUGGAAGCAUGGUGACAUGUGGAGCUGACGAAUACUAAUCGAUCGAAGACUUAAUCAAAA
Molecule: ribosomal RNA, 606 nt
Filed under: Staphylococcus aureus
Lineage: Bacteria; Bacillati; Bacillota; Bacilli; Caryophanales; Staphylococcaceae
Description: partial 23S ribosomal RNA
Rfam family: Bacterial large subunit ribosomal RNA
Source: RNAcentral